This 495-nucleotide ribosomal RNA is filed under the name uncultured bacterium. RNAcentral describes it as "partial 16S ribosomal RNA". It matches the Rfam family "Bacterial small subunit ribosomal RNA", at positions 28 to 523 of the family's 1533-position model. The record is from RNAcentral.
GAUGAACGCUAGCGGCAGGCCUAAUACAUGCAAGUCGAACGGUAUCCCGCUUUCGGGCGGGAGAGAGUGGCGCACGGGUGCGUAACGCGUAUGCAACCUGCCCCUUACCGGGGGAUAGCCCGGGGAAACCCGGAUUAAUACCCCAUGGCACCUUUUUCCGGCAUCGGGAGGAGGUUAAAGAUUUAUCGGUAGGGGAUGGACAUGCGUAGGAUUAGCUGGUUGGUGGUGUAACGGACCACCAAGGCGAUGAUCCUUAGGGGUUCUGAGAGGAAGGUCCCCCACACUGGAACUGAGACACGGGCCAGACUCCUACGGGAGGCAGCAGUAGGGAAUAUUGGGCAAUGGGCGUGAGCCUGACCCAGCCAUGCCGCGUGCAGGAAGACGGCGUUCUGCGUUGUAAACUGCUUUUAUACGGGAAGAAAAGGCCCAUGCGUGGGACAUUGCCGGUACCGUAUGAAUAAGCACUGGCUAACUCCGUGCCAGCCGCCGCCGUAA